RNAcentral lists this ribosomal RNA (484 nucleotides) under uncultured bacterium. RNAcentral describes it as "bacterial SSU rRNA". It matches the Rfam family "Bacterial small subunit ribosomal RNA", at positions 32 to 492 of the family's 1533-position model. The record is from RNAcentral.
AAUCAACGCUGGCGGCGUGCCUAACACAUGCAAGUCGAACGAGAAGGUGACUUCGGUCACUGGAUAGUGGCGUCCGGGUGAGUAACACGUAGGUAAUCUACCUUCGGGUGGGGAAUAACGUCUCGAAAGAGACGCUAAUACCGCAUAAUGCAGCGGCACCUAAUGGUGAUUAGUUGUUAAAGCGGGGGAUCUUCGGACCUCGCGCCUGAAGAGGAGCCUGCGGCAGAUUAGCUAGUUGGUGAGGUAAUGGCUCACCAAGGCUUCGAUCUGUAGCUGGCCUGAGAGGACGGCCAGCCACACUGGCACUGACACACGGGCCAGACUCCUACGGGAGGCAGCAGUGGGGAAUUUUGGGCAAUGGGCGAAAGCCUGACCCAGCAACGCCGCGUGAAGGAGGAAAUCCUUCGGGAUGUAAACUUCAUAAGUAAGGGAAGAAAGCUGCGGAUCGAAUAAGUCCGCAGUCCGACGGUACCUUACGUAAGCC